CCUUGCAGUAAUAGUCGCGGCAUGAAACACAAACCAGUUUCAUAAAAGAAAACAUGGUCUGUAGUACGCUGUAGUGGAUGUUGGAUGAAGACAUGGCACCUGACAGUACAUUAGAGUCUGUGCUAGGUCUGUUGUUGGUGCUAGGUUAGUCCAGUGUGACAACACCACUCCUGCUUUUCGAUAUGGCAGAUUGGUGUGAGUUAGCCAAUGAGUGUUUGUGAAUGCUGAAGAUAACAUAGCACAUGUAUCCUACCCUUCAGAGCUUAUACUGGACCCACAUGGGUACCAUCACAAUCCUAGGGAUUGAGGCCAACAGCUGAUGAGCAUGUAUAUAAGUGGCCUGUGUGUUUCACUACAUAUGUGUAUAUAUCAGGCAUUUUUACUUAUAUGCUGUUGCUGCUGUCUUUUUUAUCUGUUCCAGAAAUACUUGAUA
Long non-coding RNA from Schistocerca nitens (vagrant locust), 433 nucleotides. RefSeq lists it as uncharacterized. The transcript has 3 exons. The record is from RefSeq and is a predicted model, not a curated record. NCBI's taxonomy places the organism in Eukaryota, Metazoa, Arthropoda, Insecta, Orthoptera, Acrididae.